RNAcentral lists this transfer RNA (68 nucleotides) under Marmota monax (woodchuck). Its description in RNAcentral is "tRNA.Ala". Lineage: Eukaryota; Metazoa; Chordata; Mammalia; Rodentia; Sciuridae. The record is from RNAcentral.
GGAUUGUAGCUCAUUGGUAGAGCACUUGUCUAGCACAUGUGAGGCACUGGGUUCGAUCCUCAGUACCA